UUCUUCCAAAAAGUUUCAUAAAAAUUUAAUCGCUAAAUAAUUUAUCCAAGUACUUAUUGGUUUUAAUUCUAGUUUGAUUCAAUUAUUUUUAAAUUUGCCUUUUUGUUGUUAUUGAUUUUUGGAAAUGGAUGAAUUGGAUUCAUUUCGAGACAACAUGAAUUGGGACUUAAUUGAUAUCAACAGUUUUAUAGAUGAAGCACCUUCUGAUUUCUUUUGGAACCAUCAAACCCAAAACCACAGAACUUUGACAGAACUCGAUGCGCCUCUCAGCACUGCUACAUUUCAGGAGGAGUGUCUAGAAACAGAAUGCCCCCGGAAGAGAGGCCGUAAUGAGUCGUGCAGCAAACAAGGGAACAAAGCUUGCCGUGAGAGAUUAAGAAGGGAAAAGUUGAAUGAAAGGUUUUCAGAAUUAUGCUCUGUUUUGGAACCUGGGAGACCUGUAAAAACAGACAAAAUGGCCAUACUUGGUGAUGCCAUUCGUGUUUUGAACCAACUGAAGACCGAAUCUGAGCAAUACAAAGAGAUGAACCAAAAGCUUAUGGAAGAGAUCAAGACCUUGAAGGCAGAGAAGAAUGAACUUCGUGAAGAGAAACUCGCGCUGAAGGCAGACAAAGAGAGGAUGGAGCAAGAGUUGAAAGCUACGGCUGCUCCAGCAAGUUUUAUUCCACCUCAUCCAACAGCAUAUCAGCCGGCAGUAAAUAAGAUGCCUGUUUUCCCUAGUUAUGGUUAUGUGCCAAUGUGGCAUUAUCUACCACCUUCUUCGCGGGACACAUCUCAAGAUCAUGAGCUCAGGCCUCCUGCUGCUUGAGAAUCUUACUAGAUGAUGUAUGGCAUUUGGUCCUUCAUUCGUGUAAAUAGUGCUAGCAGCAGUGAGAAUCGAGCCUUUCAACCAGUUCUCGUGGACAAUACCAUUCCCACUGGGGAUGUAGAUGAGAGGAUGCCCAAAGCUUUUCACAACAGGUCCUUUGUAUAAUGUCAUGCUCAUAAUCCCAGCCAAGGAAACCAAGGUUCCUAUGAUUUUUGCUAUUCCUCUAGGAUCUCGAAUGUUAGCAUCUUCCAACCUAACACCAAGAAAGAGCAUCUAUGAACCAUGAUUUAGUCAUCUCUCGCUGAUUGUUUGCACGUAGUGUGACAUGGAAUUUUCAUGUAUUACCUUAGAAUGACUGCUAGUAUAAAUGUUAUGGCAGCUAUAGUGUUGACCAUUGAGGCAAGAAGAGUUGGAGAGGUGUAGUUCAAGCACACAUAGUACAUGUUUAGUGUCAAACUCACUCUGUCAUGAAGGAGAGACUGUUAAAUUCCUCAUCAAAGAGCAUAUAAGAAAAAUUUGAUGUUUAACUGAUCUUACCCCAUUAGAGAGAGUACAAAUAUCUCCAACAUCAAAGCUAUAGUUAACUUUGGCCUUGUCUUUCUGUAGAAAGCAACAAAGACAUCAGAAAAUAGUCAUUUGAAGCUAAGGGUUACCUACAUUUCUGCCGAAAUAAAACAAUUGUCUGUAUA
This is an RNA transcript of Lycium ferocissimum, 1497 nucleotides long. It is a transcript of the gene named transcription factor bHLH104-like, with no coding region annotated. Lineage: Eukaryota; Viridiplantae; Streptophyta; Magnoliopsida; Solanales; Solanaceae. The transcript has 6 exons. The record is from RefSeq and is a predicted model, not a curated record.